Molecule: ribosomal RNA, 840 nt
Filed under: Mycolicibacterium confluentis
Lineage: Bacteria; Bacillati; Actinomycetota; Actinomycetes; Mycobacteriales; Mycobacteriaceae
Description: bacterial SSU rRNA
Rfam family: Bacterial small subunit ribosomal RNA
Source: RNAcentral
UACUCGAGUGGCGAACGGGUGAGUAACACGUGGGUGAUCUGCCCUGCACUUUGGGAUAAGCCUGGGAAACUGGGUCUAAUACCGAAUACACCCUUCUGAUCGCAUGGUCUGGGAGGGGAAAGCUUUUGCGGUGUGGGAUGGGCCCGCGGCCUAUCAGCUUGUUGGUGGGGUGAUGGCCUACCAAGGCGACGACGGGUAGCCGGCCUGAGAGGGUGUCCGGCCACACUGGGACUGAGAUACGGCCCAGACUCCUACGGGAGGCAGCAGUGGGGAAUAUUGCACAAUGGGCGCAAGCCUGAUGCAGCGACGCCGCGUGGGGGAUGACGGCCUUCGGGUUGUAAACCUCUUUCAGCAUCGACGAAGCGCAAGUGACGGUAGAUGCAGAAGAAGCACCGGCCAACUACGUGCCAGCAGCCGCGGUAAUACGUAGGGUGCGAGCGUUGUCCGGAAUUACUGGGCGUAAAGAGCUCGUAGGUGGUUUGUCACGUUGUUCGUGAAAACUCACAGCUUAACUGUGGGCGUGCGGGCGAUACGGGCAGACUAGAGUACUGCAGGGGAGACUGGAAUUCCUGGUGUAGCGGUGGAAUGCGCAGAUAUCAGGAGGAACACCGGUGGCGAAGGCGGGUCUCUGGGCAGUAACUGACGCUGAGGAGCGAAAGCGUGGGGAGCGAACAGGAUUAGAUACCCUGGUAGUCCACGCCGUAAACGGUGGGUACUAGGUGUGGGUUUCCUUCCUUGGGAUCCGUGCCGUAGCUAACGCAUUAAGUACCCCGCCUGGGGAGUACGGCCGCAAGGCUAAAACUCAAAGGAAUUGACGGGGGCCCGCACAAGCGGCGGAGC